Molecule: ribosomal RNA, 275 nt
Filed under: uncultured bacterium
Lineage: Bacteria
Description: partial 16S ribosomal RNA
Rfam family: Bacterial small subunit ribosomal RNA
Source: RNAcentral
AACGAACGCUGGCGGCAGGCCUAACACAUGCAAGUCGAACGCCCGUAGCAAUACGGGAGUGGCAGACGGGUGAGUAACGCGUGGGAACGUGCCCUUCGGUUCGGAAUAACUCAGGGAAACUUGAGCUAAUACCGGAUACGUCCGUAAGGAGAAAGAUUUAUCGCCGAAGGAUCGGCCCGCGUCGGAUUAGCUAGUUGGUGAGGUAACGGCCCACCAAGGCGACGAUCCGUAGCUGGUCUGAGAGGANGAUCAGCCACACUGGGACUGAGACACGG